RNAcentral lists this ribosomal RNA (254 nucleotides) under uncultured bacterium. RNAcentral's name for it is "partial 16S ribosomal RNA". It matches the Rfam family "Bacterial small subunit ribosomal RNA", at positions 524 to 776 of the family's 1533-position model. The record is from RNAcentral.
UACAGGGGGGGCAAGCGUUGUUCGGAAUUACUGGGCGUAAAGGGUUCGUAGGUGGCUUACUAAGUCAGACGUGAAAUCCCUCAGCUUAACUGGGGAACUGCGUCUGAUACUGGAUGGCUUGAGGUUGGGAGAGGGAUGCGGAAUUCCAGGUGUAGCGGUGAAAUGCGUAGAUAUCUGGAGGAACACCGGUGGCGAAGGCGGCAUCCUGGACCAAUUCUGACGCUGAGUGAGCGAAAGCCAGGGGAGCAAGCGGG